CACGACCCCCCAGGCGCCUGCCCAGGCAGCGCGCCGGGCGUUGGGGGAUCACCGGCCUCCCCGCCGGUGCCCCCCGCAACCCAGCGGCGUCGAAGCCCGCGGCCCCUGCGUAGUAGAAUGCUCGCAGGGGGCUCGUGGCCCAGACCGCCGGCAGACACGACAACAAC
RNAcentral lists this unclassified non-coding RNA (167 nucleotides) under uncultured Sordariomycetes. Its description in RNAcentral is "sequence contains ITS2". Lineage: Eukaryota; Fungi; Ascomycota; Sordariomycetes. The record is from RNAcentral.